This is a long non-coding RNA of Dermochelys coriacea (leatherback sea turtle), 180 nucleotides long. RefSeq lists it as uncharacterized. The transcript is spliced from 3 exons. The record is from RefSeq and is a predicted model, not a curated record. Lineage: Eukaryota; Metazoa; Chordata; Testudines; Dermochelyidae.
GAGGACCUCUGGUGUGAUUCCAGUGCAAUGAACUGUAAUCUGUUGGGGUUCUUGGGGCAGUUGACCUUUACAUGCCCCAGCUCAUUACAUUUAAAACAUCUUCCAGCUGACGGGUCACUGGGGCGAGAUGGGUUGCUGGAGGACGGUGUGGUGGGACAAUAAGGAUAAAAGAUCUCUUUG